Molecule: ribosomal RNA, 254 nt
Filed under: uncultured prokaryote
Description: partial 16S ribosomal RNA
Rfam family: Bacterial small subunit ribosomal RNA
Source: RNAcentral
ACGUAGGGUCCAAGCGUUGUCCGGAUUUACUGGGCGUAAAGAGCGCGUAGGCGGUCUGUUAAGUGUGAAGUGAAAUCUCCAGAGCUCAACUCGGAAACUGCUUCGCAUACUGGCAGACUUGAGGAAUGCAGAGGUGAAUAGAAUUCCUGGUGUAGCGGUGAAGUGCGUAGAUAUCAGGAGGAAUACCCAUGGCGAAGGCAGUUCACUGGGCAUUAUCUGACGCUGAGGCGCGAAAGCGUGGGUAGCAAACAGGA